This 616-nucleotide ribosomal RNA is filed under the name Hymenochaete badioferruginea. RNAcentral's name for it is "SSU rRNA". It matches the Rfam family "Bacterial small subunit ribosomal RNA", at positions 349 to 962 of the family's 1533-position model. The record is from RNAcentral. Lineage: Eukaryota; Fungi; Basidiomycota; Agaricomycetes; Hymenochaetales; Hymenochaetaceae.
CAGCAGUCAAGAAUAUUAGUCAAUGCUCGCAAGAGUGAACUAGCUAACUGAAAUCCUUGAUGUGUCAUCGAGGAUAACGUAAGGGAAAWCAAUGAUAGUACCUUACUAUUAGUGUCGUCCAAGUGCUCGUGCCAGAAGACUCGGUAAGGCGAGAGACGCAAACGUUAUUCGUCUUGAUCAGGCGUAAAGGGUUUGUAGGCGGCUUUAAGUAUCCAAUUUUAAGUUUACUAUUAUACUCUCCCGCUCAAAUAAAUCCGGGCAUAGUGUUAUAAUAUUUAUUAAAGGAUCAAUUAAAGCUAGAAUCUAACAGAGGUUAAAACAAUACUUAAGUUAGGUGUACUAACCUUAGAUAUUAAGCAGAGUGUUAAGGGCGAAGGCAUUUAUCCACUGAAGAUUGACGCUGAGAAACGAAGGUGAGGACAGAAAAAAGGAUUAGAGACCCUUGUAUCCCUCACUGUCAACGAUGAAUGGUAGUUACUAGGGAGAAAUAACCUAGAGACGAUGUUAACACGAAAACCAUUCCGCCUUGUGAGUACGACUGCAAAGUUGAAAACAAAAAAAUUAGUCGGUUUCGGAGCAAACGAAGCGAAGCAUGUUAUUUAAUUCGAUAAUCCGC